This 3604-nucleotide long non-coding RNA is filed under the name Scophthalmus maximus (turbot). RNAcentral's name for it is "lncRNA (ENSSMAG00000034113.1)". Lineage: Eukaryota; Metazoa; Chordata; Actinopteri; Pleuronectiformes; Scophthalmidae. The record is from RNAcentral.
CUGACUGUGGUUUUUCUUCUCUUCUUCUUUUCUCUCCUUUUUCUUGCAGGAUGUUAUGAGAACAGGCGUCGAUUUGCAGAGGGGAGUGAGAUGGAGGGAGGGGAUAUGUUAAGUGAUGGAGAGAAGCGGUCUGAUCGAAGGAGAUUUUUAGAGGAGAAAGUGAAAAAAGAAGUUACACAAAGAUGAAAAUGAGACUGCAAAGAGGACAUGGUUGGCUAUUAGCCCCAAGUCCACUUGACAACCAUUAUCUUUUAAAGUAAAAAUCUGAAUUGUAAUUUCUUUUAGCUCCAGUUUUGAUGCAUGGUAAAGGGCUACUUUGUAACGAUCAUCAGCACAUAACCCGAAAUUUAAAUACAUAUUUACAUGUACAUAUUUGUCAAAUCAGAUUGUAUAAAGAAAUGUAUCAUUCUACAAACGUACAUUAGACCUUGAUAUAUGACCCCGAUUCUAAGGGCCUCAAACAAUGUCCAGUCUUCACAGUGUGUAUCUCGUCCUCACAGAUAAUGGAUUUAUUCAUUUGUUGGAUACAGUAUCUUUCAAAACACUCAAGGUCGCCACAUAACGGCAACGGAAAAACAUCAAGCCGUUCGACAAAUCAUUUAGAGCACAAGAUAAGUGGUAAAGACAACGGGCUAUCUGCCACAGUCGAGGACAAGCAACUGCACAGGACACACUGAGCAGAAGGAUUGUGAAGUCAAUCGAGAAUUGGAGCCAGGAUGUUUGUCUAAAAGUGAGGUGGUCACAAUGUUUCUGUUCAUUCAUGUCAAAUAAAUAAGAGCUGUUGUACGGCAGCACAUCUCCCCCAGCUGAUAAAGUCAGAAGUACUGUGGUCUUGAGUUACUAAGUGAAUAGUUAUCAUUAGCUUUUAUUACAGUUGUAUUACAACGUUAUGAAUGUCUACAUGUGUGUGUGGUAAAGGAGGACAAAAUUGUACCUGUUAAUAUUUCUAUGACAUGACAGAUUGUGUAUGUUCUGCGUAUUCGUAUCAUACUUCUCUGUUCCAGGCCGCACUACAAAUCUUCUGAAAGGGGCCACGGUCGCACAGGAAGCAUCUGGUCAAAACAAAACCGCCGCCAGCUGGGUUAAAGAGCAGCACAAAGGGGCCUGGGCACUGAGGAAGCUGAUGAAGGAAAUCGUUUUGAAUGCGAGGGGCUGGACUACUACUGCAGUCCUAUUGUCGGCCAUCUGUAAGUGUGCCUCUUACACACACAUACACACACACACACAACCUUCUGGGCACGAGCCAGACGGUGGUGUCAAUAGACUUGUUGGGGGGAUGGGCCGUGUCAACCGUUGAAAGGAAUUAUGUUCUCCAGGGGUCGCUCCGUGGCCUUUGCUAAGGAAGGAGUUACGGUGUUGAGAGGCCAUUUAAGGAAAGGGAAUUUGUUUUCCGUUGGUGCAUGGAAGGGAAAGUUUUGUCGUUGGGAAUUGAGAGAUGCGGGUUGAGAGAAAUUCUGGAGCGACUCUUGUUCUCCAAACCAUUUUGGAAGAGUACAAUGAGCAUCUGGUUUUAAUCACUGCACAAAUCUCCUGGCCCCAAAGGUUUUUUUGUUUGUUCAUUGCUUUGUGUUGCUUCACUUUUGUGUCGGUGUUUGUGACAGACAAAUCUAUAGUAACGUGAGGUUUUAUACCAUCUAUUAAGAGUGAAACACUUGAAACUUACUGAAUCUGCUCCCUCAGAAUGGGGCUUGAUCAAACAUCAUUCGAGUGACCUGUCCACACAAGGAAAAGACGUCAACCAACUGCCGUCGCAUUUGAAUUCAAACGAUGCUAAAAAAGCAUCAUCGGAGCUCAGUGGUGACAUCACCUUUUUUUCCCAACUGAGCACAUGCUCUUACACUGACACCACUCCACCCUGUAGCCAAUUCUUUACCAUGGCAACUCGCAGUGUUGCAACAAAAAUAAAGCCGAGCAAAAGCGACUCCCCCCAAAAUGCAUUUUCUCUCCCGACAGAGAACCAUUAUCAAAAAAAGGCCUCUGUACAACUGUUAUCACGAAACCUCUGACUGCAAACAAGUGUCUUAUUUACUCCUUCCAUAAUGAGUUUUUAACAUGCAGAGGUUUUAUUUCAGGUUUUAUAUUUGUAAAAUGUUUCCCAGAGUGAAGAGAAAAAGUUAUUAUAUGUACGGUUUUGGAGCCUACUGGGCCUGAACAGGCUUAAUUAAUUGUCAUAGUAUAACUAACUUUGGCAGAAGAUUUUGUGUUCAUGUAGAAAUUGGAUCCCUCAUAUAGCCACAAACUGACCAGGUGCUUCUGUGAGAGGUUUUGGAAAUGUACAGAUCAGAACACUGAGUGACAAAUCAUGGAACUUUAUUCUGCCUUGACGCUCUGUAUAAAAGGUGCAAACACGAAAAUGGAGGGCGUCGUUGUUCCGGAAAUAAUUCGGCAGAGGAGGUUGUCACGUGCGUUAAAAAAAAAAGAAGAAAAAAAAAGGGAGCCAGCAAAGCAGACAGGGGUGCGACGUCUUGAUAAUGUAUGUGACCUGCCACCGCGGGAUAUAAAUGUCUCUGAGGGAACACUUAGCGGCUAACCAACAGGAACCAAGAUGGUACCUCAAAGAGUAGUGGCGGUAAAAGAUCGACUGAUAUCAGAAAAGCUUUUCUUAGGAAAAGGCUCAGGUGACAAACAAACGGAAGAGCUUGGGUUAAAAAAUUCCACAAGGUUAACUACCAUGACGGCAGAGGUGAUGGAGGACAGUUGGAAUGGCCAUUCGAUUCGGGGUGGGGGGGCAGCUACUCUGUUAACCCAGUUGCUCUACUGAGCAGAAUGGAGGAGGAAUUUUGAAGGGGAGAUCACACUCAAAUGGAAAGGCCCACGAUGACAAGGUGAGGAGAGAGGUACAAGAGGCAGGGAGGGAGGGAGGCUGACAGACGGGAGCUGCCACAGUAGAUGAAUGUCUCGGGCAACGUGUUUUGAGAGAUUCAGCGAGGGAUGCCGAGUCAGGCAUCUCUUCGGCGGGACCUGAUUUCACGCAUUCCGGCUCCUGCGCCGCAGAACUCAACUUCCACAUGACAGUGCCCCGCUGCCGCGCCUCAAAUGCAGAAUUAUUCCCCGCCAGCACACACACCCAGUGACUACCUCAGCUGUAGCGGCGGCACGACUAAUUCGACCCAGCUACUUCCUGAUCCUUCAUCCGGCAGCUGGACCGAUUGUACAGUUACGUUUUGCCUUUUCAUUUUGCAACAUGUUCAUUGGCACGGUCAACAGUUAUUACUUGUGAACACUGUUCUGCCCUUAUUUUGUCAUUUUUUUUGUCUUUUGUCUUUUUUUUCUUUUCACAACAUUUUGAAAAUUUUUGUAUUUUAAUGUGUGAUGUCCCUCCCACUCCCUCUUUUUUAUUUAUUUUUUAUUUUUUAGAUCUUACAGACUCUUAACCUUAUUCAAUCUGUUAACAGGCCCAACGUCAUACAUCGGAGGUGUUGCCCUCAUCUGCUUUUAAUUUGGUGAACAUGCCUGUAACUUAUCCUAAAGCUAGUGGUUUUAAAGAUCCACAGCUCCCUACUCCUAUUCCUAUACCCUUCAACAUCCUCUCGCACCCGCAACACUUGUUCUGCUGCUAGUUGUUCUGUACUACAUCCAUGAAUAAUCCCAUAAUAUCCACUCG